ACAAUUCUGAUAUUCAAGCUUCAUUAAUUAUUGCAACAGUUAAGAACUUAAUUUACUAAUAUAUGUUAGGAAGGCUCUUUUUUUUCCCCAAAUUUAUUCAAGUUGUCAAGAAAUUAGAUAAAAAUGUAAAAAAUAAAUACAUGUGAAUUUUACUUUUGAUUUUCACUAAAGGUAAAUAUCCAUACAAUUUUACAGUGUCACCUGAUGACAAUCUUUAAUAAAUCCAGGUAUACAGAAAUUUAAAAGGCAGGAGUUUCCUUUUACACUUUUAAACUUGAGAAACAGCAAUUUAACUGUGACACAAAGUUCAUGUAACAGAUGCAGCAAUAAAUUAAAAAAUGAGCAUCAGUGGGAUAGUCUCCCUCCAUUAGAAGGGCAUGCUCUUACAGUGCUGAGCUCGGAUUUGAGUUUCAAAGUUGACCAUCCAACACAAAGUGCUUCUACAAAGCCAGCCCCAGGCUUCACUCUCACCAGUCUGAGGUCGCCUCUCUCUGGGACAUCACUGGGGCACUGUGAUGAGCACCUUGUUAACCUGAACCAACAAGCAGUGUGGGUCCAGCCACUCGGGUCAAAAGGCACACUCUGCACAAG
This 591-nucleotide long non-coding RNA is filed under the name Marmota monax (woodchuck). Lineage: Eukaryota; Metazoa; Chordata; Mammalia; Rodentia; Sciuridae. The record is from RNAcentral.